UUUGCUUCUCUUGGUAGCGCGCGUCCUUGAUAUGGACGAGGCAGUGGUUCGAGUCCACUACAGACCACCA
Molecule: transfer RNA, 70 nt
Filed under: Pseudobdellovibrionaceae bacterium
Lineage: Bacteria; Pseudomonadati; Bdellovibrionota; Bdellovibrionia; Bdellovibrionales; Pseudobdellovibrionaceae
Description: Bdellovibrionaceae bacterium (bioreactor metagenome) tRNA-Ile
Source: RNAcentral